AGUCUCAUACGACCAGCUCCUACUGAACUCCCCCAGACCGGGAACGGAGCAAGGGUAGGUAGUCGUAGCGGUGCGAUGUGANNGAGUA
This 88-nucleotide signal recognition particle RNA is filed under the name Flavobacteriales bacterium. RNAcentral describes it as "signal recognition particle sRNA small type". It matches the Rfam family "Bacteroidales small SRP", at positions 15 to 96 of the family's 107-position model. Rfam says of the family: The non-coding component of the signal recognition particle in Bacteroides Lineage: Bacteria; Pseudomonadati; Bacteroidota; Flavobacteriia; Flavobacteriales. The record is from RNAcentral.